GGAGGGUGCAAGCGUUGUUCGGAAUUACUGGGCGUAAAGCGCGUGUAGGCGGCUUGGCAAGUCGAGUGUGAGAUCCCAGGGCUCAACCCUGGAACUGCACCCGAAACUGCCUAGCUAGAGUCCCGGAGAGGGUGGCGGAAUUUCCGGUGUAGAGGUGAAAUUCGUAGAUCUCGGAAGGAACACCAGUGGCGAAGGCGGCCACCUGGACGGUGACUGACGCUGAGACGCGAAAGCGUGGGGAGCAAACAGGAUUAGAUACCCUGGUAGUCCACGCCGUAAACGUUGAGUGCUAGGCGUCGGGGGUAUUGACCCCCUCCGGUGCCGGAGUUAACGCAUUAAGCACUCCGCCUGGGGAGUACGGCCGCAAGGCUA
RNAcentral lists this ribosomal RNA (372 nucleotides) under uncultured organism. Its description in RNAcentral is "partial 16S ribosomal RNA". It matches the Rfam family "Bacterial small subunit ribosomal RNA", at positions 527 to 896 of the family's 1533-position model. The record is from RNAcentral.